RNAcentral lists this transfer RNA (82 nucleotides) under Crocinitomicaceae bacterium. RNAcentral's name for it is "tRNA-Leu". It matches the Rfam family "tRNA". From Rfam's summary of the family: Transfer RNA (tRNA) molecules are approximately 80 nucleotides in length. Their secondary structure includes four short double-helical elements and three loops (D, anti-codon, and T loops). The record is from RNAcentral. Lineage: Bacteria; Pseudomonadati; Bacteroidota; Flavobacteriia; Flavobacteriales; Crocinitomicaceae. RNAcentral also lists the same sequence under 4 other names.
GCCCACGUGGUGAAAUUGGUAGACACGCCAUCUUGAGGGGGUGGUGCCAGUAGGUGUACCAGUUCGAAUCUGGUCGUGGGCA